Molecule: ribosomal RNA, 253 nt
Filed under: uncultured bacterium
Lineage: Bacteria
Description: partial 16S ribosomal RNA
Rfam family: Bacterial small subunit ribosomal RNA
Source: RNAcentral
UACGUAAGUGGCAAGCGUUAUCCGGAAUUAUUGGGCGUAAAGCGUCCGUAGGUGGUUGGCCAAGUCUGCUGUCAAAGGGUGGGGCUUAACCUCAUAAAGGCAGUGGAAACUGGCGAGCUAGAGUGCGGUAGGGGUAGGGGGAAUUCCCAGUGUAGCGGUGAAAUGCGUAGAGAUUGGGAAGAACAUCGGUGGCGAAAGCGCCCUGCUGGGCCUGCACUGACACUGAGGGACGAAAGCUAGGGGAGCGAAAGGG